ACUUUUUUAAAAAAUUUUCCUUAGGGUGUGAAUGUCAUAAUGUGGGUACAAACUAACAGUAUAGGAACAAGGACAUUGAUAAAAAUUGAAAAAGAAAAAUUGGAAAUUUAUUCAGAGAAGAAGUAGCAUCAAUUGCCUAGGGAAUAAGUGCCUGCAGAUGUUACACCUUGGUCCCCAGUAUGCUUGAAACAAACUGGAGACUGAUCAGUUUCUUACAGUAUCAGAAGACAGCAGCCCAGCUACAGCUAACCACACAAAGAGAUUGAAGAACACUGAGCUGCCAAGGAGUAGUGACCCAGCAAGAAUCAAGGUAGACUUAUCUGGGCCUGUCUGCAAGCCUUUUGCUCUGUCUUCCAUAGGAGAGAAGGAAUCUCUUCUGCCAACACAUUGUCUGUUUAAAUGGCUACUGCACAGAACCAAUCCACUUUACAAGACUCUUUAAAAUUUUUCCUUGUCAACAGUCCGUCCAAUCCAAAGUUCAUAAUUAGAGAUUUCCAGUCUGUGUUGUUUAAUUCUAUGAACUCUACUGCAUUCUUCUCUGCUUCCCCUUCAUCUGCUUGGCAACUGGGCAUUGGAAAAUUUAGUCUUUAAAAUAUGGAGCCAAGAAAGAAUGCCUACACAGGCACUCACAUCUGAACAGCCCCCUCUCCUCAUCAAACAAUACAAUAGCUGUUGAAUCCGCAAAUCCCGCUGCCACGGCCACUUGCAGCUGCACUGCAACUGUCGUCAGUAAUUCCCUACAGAACAGACCAAGAAGUAUUAAUGCAGUUCCAAUGGUUUGCAGUGUUCUAUUUGCAGUGCUUAUAUAAUCAAAAUCAAGUGUUGUCUUGUAGUAAUAUCACUCCCAAAGUCUCUAUCUUCUGAUAAGAGGUUAACUUAGGUGGCAAGAUGGUAUCAAUAGGAUUCUUGAAGCAUGCCCAGGCACAAAUAACUAAAGGCAUAUUUCAAAAAAAUUUGGUUACCAAACAGGAAAAACCUAGUAGAAUUAGCAUAAAAUAGGUAAAAACUGGAAAAUCACCAUGUUAAUUUGAGCAGGUCAUUCAAGUACAUGUGGUUUUGGCCUCUUAAAUAUUCAAUCACAAGUACAUUCUAUAUGAUUUUAAGCUACUACAGAAGUAUGAAAAAGAAAAUUAUGAGAAUGUCAACCAGUGUGGAAACUAAUUUCCUUAAGUAACUUCUCUCAAUAUCCUUUUCCUUUAAGACAAUACGGUUACAAGUUGCAACUUAAUUUUUGUCUCCGGACUUACCAUGUGAACGUACUUGAGUCUGAUUGUAACUCGACCCAACCAAGCAAGGGCCAUCCAUAGUUGAUACUAUUGACGCUGGUUGAUGGAAUUGAGUCCCAGGCUAGUCCAGCUUGACUAAUAGUCAAAUAUGCUCUCAAAGCGAACUUUCCUGAGAUUGAGAACAAACCUUGAAUCAUAAAAAGUUCAGGAAAAUAAAUCCGGAGAAUAUUUAAUAUAGUCAACAACCAACUCUUCUUCCUUCAUAAGAGGUGGUGAAUUAGCUCAUAAUAUAGAAGAGUAAAUUUUGUGAAGAUGGGGAAUAAGCUCAAAAUCAUAAUUUCUAUACAAAAUCAGAAAGUUCAAUGAGAGAAUUGCACUCAACUACUAAAAGAUAAUAACAACAUCAAAAUAAAAAACAGAAAAAAAAAAAGAACCGUAAAAGUCUUAUAGACAAGACAAUUUAAUUACAAUAUUCGUCGUGGGAAUUUUGUGGUAUAGACCUUCAUUUAGACUUGGACUUUUUAAUUUUCUUUAUGAAUAAACAAUUGGCUCCUGCUCAAAUGAAAAAUGAGAACCAAUGCUCAGAGUCACAGACAGAGGUGUAGGCAUGGCAAUGCCAAUUUUGCAAAUGAUCAUUUGGUCAUAGUCAAAACCUCAGAAAAGCCAAAACAAGAACAAUAUAACAUCAAAAUUGGGACAAAAACAUGUGUAGCAACUACAUAACAAAGAUUUGUGUCAAUCUGCUCACCUUUUAAAGGUGGUCCACUGGGUUAGUGCAAAAUAGACUAACUUUUUCUUUAUAGGGGCCCUCAAUCAGUGUUGGCUGCUGAACUAGAAGAGAGUUCAGAUAACUAAAAAAUUCUAUAAAUUCAAUACCAUAAAAUACCUCACAUAAAAAUGUUGCUUUUGGAAUUGUAGUUUUCCAAAUGUUCCCAAAUUUAAAAAUACAUUGGCAUAAAGUUAUUGAUGUUUACCUCAUAUUUUUUUCCAUGGUCAUAUCAAACAUUGUUCACAUAGUAAGUCUUCUAUGCUGAUCCUUGUUACUUAAUAUGAGACACAGAAAAGAAAAAGUAGUGAUCAAUUUAUUUUGAUAUCAAAGGGAGCAAAGCCAUAACAUGUAUAUUACAUAUGUAGCCAACUAAGUACAUAUUAUGAUGUGGGUAAGAUUCAAUACAUAUUUCAAUAACCAUGAAUUACCUAAAAAUGUAUCCACGUGUUCUUAUAGGGGAUAAACACACAAGUAGCUAGGAGUCAUCUCUGCCCAUUUCGAAAGGUAAAUUGAUGGUGUCAUGAAAAUAUGAUAACUGGCUUCUUUAAAAUAUGAAUUACCAUGGAUCAAUCUUUCUUUACUCUUCUUUACUUCAUUAGAAAAUUCUUUUUUUUUUAAAAAAAAAGAUAGGGCAGAGCAUGCUGCAUAACCAAAUUCCCAAUAAGAAGGCUAGAAAAUGAGUUAUGGAGACAUGCAACUAUAGAGAUUGUUAGAAAUUUUGAAACAUGAGUACUUGGCCAGCUACUUUAUGAAUUGGAACAUAACUUUUUUAAAGAAAAUAAGUCUAAGCAUAAAACAAAUUACCUGACGGUAUAUUGAUCACUAUUUUUGGAGUUGAGAGAGGGCAAUUUCAUAUAUACAAGAUCAUGGGAUUAUGUUCCCUCUAGAACUCAAUUUUGCUUGUCAAUAGCCCGUGUACCACAUUCCUCUCUGCUCCCCUUUCAUCUGCUUGGCAAUCGGGCAAUUGAAAAAAUUUCAUCUUUAAAAUCUAUAUCCAAGAAAGAAUACCCAUAUAGGCAACAAUUUGGACAACCUCCCCUCUUCAUCAAGCAAUACAAUGGUUGUUAAAUCCACAAAUCCCACUACCAUGACUACUGGUGUCUAUGCUGCAAAUGUCAUCAGAAAUUGCCUGCACGAUAGACCAAGAAGAAGCAUUUGUUUUUAAAACCAGAAGCUUCUAUAUAUAAGUAAAGCAUCUUAUAUAAAGAGUAUAGAUUUACCUUAUCUAUUUAAAAAUCACAUUUUCAAAAAUUUUAAAAUUUGAGAGAAUAAGAAUCUAUUUGGUGAAGUUUUUAAAAAUAAUUUUAUGUUUUUAAAAAUUGAAAACAGUUUUAAAAAAUUAAUAACACUGUUUGGUUAUUCUUCUCAAUUUCCUUUUUAAAAACAAAAUAAAAUAAAGAACAACUUUUAAAGAACAAGUAAAAGUUAUUUUUAUCCAUUUUUAAAAAUAAUAGAAAAACAUAUGCACUCUAUUAUUUCUCUUCUACAUAGAAUUAUUAUUUUUCAAUUUUUUUGGUUAAGUAAAUUAACUCCAAAUUAAACAAAAUUUAAUGUGUUGUAUUUGUUAACAAGUCUAUUAAUUUUUAAAAAUAAUUUAAAACUUAAAUAAUAAACUCAUUAAUACCAUAAAUUUAUUAAUAUAAUAAAAUAUCUUUUUUUCUAACAAAUAAUAAAAUAGUAUAAUUUCUACUAAAAAUAUAAUUUAUGAUUUUAUUAUAAUAUUACUAUUUAUGUUUUACUAAAAACUAUAUAUAUAUUUUAAUUUAUUUGUAAUUACAAAAUUAUUUUCAUUUUCAAUAAGAAUUCAAUUAAAUUUAAUUAAUUAAUAUUAUAUAAAUUGAAUUAAAAAUAUUUUUACAAAAUUAUAAUAAUUUAAAAGAAAAAAACAAUUGAUCCGAACAAGUUUUUUUUUUUUAAAUCCUUCUAUAAUAAUAACUUACCAAAUAUCCUUAAUUUUAUAAAACAUUAAAAAAAACCUUUUUUGAUUCUUUAACAUUAAAAAAGUUUCUAAAAAAAAACAUAAGAAAUCAUGUUCAAACAACAAAUUUUAAAAAAUUAAUCAAAGUAUUUAAUUGACUUGUAUUAAAAAUGAAUAUUAAAAUUAUUUUUAUAUUAUAGAAAUUUUUGUUUCACUAUAAUAAAAAUAUUGUUUCAUAAUUAAAAACAAAAUUAUUUAUCUUUAAUUAAUAUAUAAUUGUAUAUUUAAUUUUUAUUUUUUAAUAAGACUUAACAUGAAUUUGAUUUCAUAUUAUUAUAAAUUAAUUUUAUAAAAUAAAAGUAAUACAUUGUUUUUAAAAAAUAAUACAAAUUCUUUCAUCUUAUUGUUUUUUGUUUUUUAAAAAAUAUUUUUUAAAAUAUCUUGCCAAACAUUCUGGUUUUUUUAAAAAAAAUUUUGCCCUAAAUUUUUUUUGAUACCUUGAUUGUUUUAAACAGUUUUUAAAAUUAUUAAUUUUUCAAUGUAAGCCUUUAAGAGUUAAAAUACAAAAGUUACUGUCACUUAAUUUUAGGCUUAACAAUGUAGGAGAUUUAAGUGGAGGCAAGGAAUUAAGCAGAUAUAUUCUUGAGAUUAGAAAUUUGGGUGGAACAUCAAUUUUGUAAAGAAAUUAAGUUUAAGCACACAACAAUUACCUGCCCAUGUGUUGGUGCACUGCCACUCCCAUUAAAAUAGCACCCAAUCGAUCACUAUUUUUGGAAUGUGAGAUAUAUAACGCCAUUCUUGCCCUUUCUCGAAUUGGAGCCGUUGUUCCAGCAAAGGACACGAUCCGACAUCCAGAGAACAGAGGGAGUCUGGCAGUCUCUCUUUUGUCAAGUAUUGGAGCUUAGGGCAACGGACGAUACUUAAGGUUUCAAGAGUGGUGAGGUGGUGAAGACCCGCUUCUGUCAAGGAUUGGAGCCUUCUGCACGACCAGAUUUCUAAUUUCUUGAGAGAGAUAAGGCGUUGAAGAACAGAUCCUGUCGAGAAUUGGAGCUCAGGGCAGUUCUCGAUCCAUAAUUCUCGAAGAGAGGUGAGUUGUUGAAGCCCCUUGUUGUCAAGAGACUUGAGAUUUGGAAGACCCCAGAUUGAAAGAUGAGUUAGAGAAGAGGGCAGCAGACACUCCUUGGGAAAUAAUUCCACGCCUUCACAUCCACCUCCGAUUGUGAAAUGAGUAAGAGAGGUCAGUCUUUGCAAAUCCCAGUCCACCUGUGACGUGAGUUGGUUGCAGCGCCAUAUUGCAAGUUCCCGUAGGUUGGAAGGCAAACCCUCCCUGUGCAACAACAAUUCUGGACAAUCCGCUAAACACAGUUUCUGCAGAGAUGAAUGGGUGUGCGCCAGCAAUUUGAGAUUGGAGCAAUUCCAAAUAUCAUGGUACAUCGAGUCAAGAGCAGGCAGUUGGAUGUAUACAAGAUUAAGGCACCGAUGGAUCUUCAAAUUACGAAGAGAUGUGGGAUCCCCCUCUGAAAUCGAGAUGCAGAGCUCCUCAAGCCCCUUAAGACCAUUUAUUUCGAAAUCAGUCAACCUGGGGAAGAUGUCCAAUACUGAGAAGGACAACAAGAGAGAAUCACAGGUACCGCCAUUGAUUGAUAGAUUUUCGAGAACCGGGUGAUGGCAUCUGAACAACUUAGGUAGAAGAAGGUCCAAUUUGGUACAAUCAGAGAUUGAUAACGAUUUCAAUGUAGUGGGUAAGCCAACUUUGUUUGGGGAUCUGUAAAAAGAGCAAUCACAAAUUUCCAAACUGUACAUGUUGGUUUGCAGGAUUUCCUCCUCUAGUAGAGACUCCACAUAAUCACAUUUUCUAAUGUAGAGAUAGUGGGGUACCAGUGGAAGUUGCUUCAACUGAGAGACGUCUGAAAUUUCAAUUUUUGAAGUUUGACUAGCUGUGAACCCACAAGUUUGCCUUUUCAACUGCAAUUCACGGGCAGCAAGAACGUUGAGUGUAGGCACAAGCAGCUGUGGGCAAUUUCGAAGGUUAAGUUCCUUCAAUAAAGGAAGGUGCAUUGGUAAUUCCCCAGUGAGUUUUGGACAGUUACUUAUAGAAAGCUCCUGGAAACGAGGGAAUUCUCCAUGUUUGCCUCCACAACAUAACCAUUUCUCCCAAUUGGACAUAGAGGAAAAUGAUAGAGUUUGCAGGGAUGGGAAGGAGGGAUGAAGCGAGGAAGAAGAAUUCCCAUAAAACUCACUACCCACCCUCACUACUCCAUUCAUUCCAAAGAUCUUUAUAUGUUCAAGACAAGGUAGCUGCCCCAGUGGCGGCAAUGUUGAGCAAUUCCUACAAUUCGAAAGCUGAAGGGAUACGAGAUUUGAAAAUGAUCCGUCUCCAAGCCAAUCUGGAAAUGUUAGACCAGGAUACCCUCCAAUGGACAACUUUUUUAAAUUUGGAUGAGGUGUUAGCCUGUUGAGAAUAUCAUCUUGUAUAGCAUCAUGACUAAUCCCCCGACUCCAAUUCAAGGAUAACUCAUCAAGGUAUUUCUUAUCCUUCAUUUUCGCCUGCAAUGCAUCCUCAACACCCACCACAUUCUCCAUUUUUGAAAUUUCAAGUCUUCCUCGAAUCUCUGAAAGCUUCCACAAUUCUCCAAAUCUGAAUCCACUUUCUUUGCCCACAGUAAAAUUAGAUAAUUUCUGCAAACUUUUUAAUUGACCUAUAUCAUUUGGCAUUUCUUCCAAUGAAUUAGACCCACUAAUAUCAAGAUAGCGCAAAUUAAUCAACUUCCCCAUUUUUGAAGGCAAUUCAAGAAGAGAAUCACAAUUACUCAGCAUCAUCGUUUGCAAAUUGCACAAACAACAUAUUGAUUCAGGUAAUCUUUUAAUCCAUGUUGUAGAGAGAUCCAAGUAACGCAACUGUUUUAAAUUGUGUAUUGAAUCAGGCACAUCUCUUAUGCAGUAUGCACGCAAUGACAACACCCGCAAAGAUUUAAAUUUUGGUAAUAUAUUGUGUAAAACUCUUGUACUCAACAAAUAAGGAGGCCAUGAUGUCUUCACCUCUAAGAUUGUUCUGAGAUGUUUGGCUUCACCAACAGGCUCAAAAGUUUCAAACACAGCUCCCCGGUCAUCGUCACUUUCAAAGUGGAAAAAAUGGCGAGCCUUAUCAGAUAUUUUUGGCAGCUUACAAUCUUCCAAUCGAAUGCAAAAUUCUUGGGAGAUAUGUUGAGCCAAGUCAUGUAUCAGAUCAUGCAUUACAAAGCAUGAUUUUUCUCCUCUAAUACAUUUUUGAAAAAACGACUUUGCUAAAAGUUCAUUUAAAUAUGAAUCACCUACCUCUUCCAUUCUUCUGUUACUUUGUCCUGAGUGUAAAAACCCUUCUGCCAUCCAUAAUAGAAUCAGCUUCUCUUUGUGGAAUUCAUAGUCCUUGGGAAAAUUUGAACAGUAAGCAAAACAACGCUUCACAGGAGGAGAGAGAUGCUGAUAACUCAAUCUAAGAGACGGAAGAAUUUCAUGAUCAGUUUGGGAAUGCCACGUUUCGCUAUUCAAAAUAUCUUCCCAUUCUCCUUUUUCGGCCUUGUAGUACAAGAGGCUCCCGAGUGCUUUAACAGCCAAAGGCAAUCCUUGGCACUUGUCCACAAUCUUUCUUCCUAUGGGCUCAAGCUGUGGAUAAGCGCUGGAGUCUCCAUUUGGAAAUGCAAGUUUUGUAAAUAUGGACCAACUAUCUUCAGGGCUUAAUGUCCCCAAAUGAUGAGUAGGGACUGCUCGCAUGAUUUUUGCAGCAGUUUCACUGCGACUAGUCACAACAAUCUUGCUUCCCUCUGCUGCAGUGAGGAGUGGAUUUCGUAGGCCUACCCAAUCAUCAGACUUCAUAUCCCAGACGUCGUCCAGAACAAGAAGAAAUUUCUUGUUACCUACUCUCUCUUUGAGUUUAAGCUGAAGCAAAUUUAGGGUGUCAUCAGGUUUAGUUUCAGAACCGAUUUCCUUGAGAAUUGAUUUUGUCACCUCCUCGAUGAGAAAAAUCUGAGUGGAAACACAGACCCAUGCUUUCAAGUGGAAGUGUUGCUUGACCGUGUCAUGGUUAUAGAGAAGCUGAGCGAGUGUGGUCUUGCCGUUGCCGCCGAUGCCCACUAUGGACAUCACAUCUAUGUUGUUGCCUGUUGCAUUUUCCUUAUCAGAAAGCAACCACUUCACCAUCUCCUCUUUGAUUCCAUCCCUGCCCACCACAGAGGACUCAUCCACCAAAGAAGUGGUUGGUGGCCUUGGUGACAGUUUAUCGCCCUCACCUUCUUUCAGCCCAAGCUUCUCUUUUUCUUCAGCAAUAUCUUCAAGCUUAGCAAUCAUCUCCUUCACCCUGGACUCCAUGCUUUGAUUGGCAAAUGGAGCCUUAACCCUGGUAGAGAACUUGUUCCACACCUGAUAAAUUCCACCAGGUUGGGAGUCAGCAGCUUCAAUCUCGCACCGCAAGGCUUCGGUAGCGAUCUCGUCCAACAGGUCCUCCGCAUGAUACACAGCAUCCUUAACCUGGACCAGCCAGUCUUUGACUAGUGGGUCUGAAAAUUGCUUCAUCUCCGCAUCAUUGAGCGCUUUGUGGACAACCAGCAAUUUCCUCUUCAAUUUGUUGAGGAGUUCAUGGCUAAGCUUCUGUCCCCGGAUGAAGUUCAUCAACUCCGGAGAAGUCAACCUGUCGAAUAGAACUUGAAGUGAAGCGGAUAGGAGUGCGUCGGCCAUAUCUGUUGACUGUUGCUUUGCAAAUCAAAGGAACUCAGCGAUUCAGUUCAGGAAAAAACGAAGGUAAAGCAGAUGCAGAAUCACACCACCAAACUGUAGUGGACUGGUUUGAACACGAGAUCCAAAAAUAAUGGAAAAAUAAAGAAGGCCACAGAGAGGCACAUGGGGCUGCACCAAACACCAAGGGAUGCACAUGGUCUGUCACCCUCGAGCAUAAAACUCAUGUUAUGUUUAUUAAUGACUCUUAUCUUUUUCAAAUCCAUAUAUAAUUUUAUCUAUAACUUCAUGCAUGUUUUUUUCAAUUGUUAGUAUUGAUUUUUUAUUUUUUUGUUUUUAAUAUAUUGGUGAAUCAAUUGGUGGAGUUGGGGCAGAUCUUUUGACAUUGAUCUAGGUCUUCAAUUUUUUCUAGAUUUGCUCUUUAGAAUAUUGUAUUUUAUUUACCAUUGCAAAAUAAUUAUUCAAGCUCUUAACUUGAAAAUAUUAAAAUUAUUUUUAACAAUUAGCAUUUUUGUUAAAAAAAAUAACUCGGUAGUUUAUGAAUUAAAGUAUGAAAAUUGUCAUUUUCUAUGUUUUCAUAAUGAUGUAAUUGUGAAACUCCUAACCCCCCAAAAAAAAAAAAAAGGAGAAAAGAAAUUUCACCUUAAUUGGCUUUUGUCAAAGGCAUAUAUACCUUUUACUCGCAUUAGUUCUAUACCUACUUGGAUAUCCUUGGUUUUGUACAACCGAUAAUGAAUUUCAUUCAAUUUGAUCGAUUUUGUAGUUCUUUAGUCGAUUUUAAUCAUAAUAAAAGAUUGUCUAUAUUUGAAUGUUUAUGUAAAUUCAACUGAAUUAAGAAUUUUUAUAUGACAAAAAUAAAUCUUAAUUAAAUAACCUUAUUAUUGCCUUCUCUAGCUAUAGCAGUCAUAAAACUUCUCAUAAUUACAUCAUCACCACCUUCACUUUCCAAUCUUGAAGCCACCUUGCAAGAUUCCUUAACAACAUCAUUAUUCAAUUCAAAAAAAUUUCACAUAAAUUAAAUAUAUAAAAAAAAAAAAUCAUUUUUCUCAAUUUUUAUUUUUUUUCUUUUCUGAGCAUUUGUCAAGCAAAUAAAAAAUAGGCUAAAUAACUUGAAAAUAAAUUGAAUAAUAAACCAAAGGAUGGAUUGGUAAGAUUAUUUAGUAUUGUUUAAUCAUAAUAAACAAAAGAGCAUUGCAAAGAUUAUUAUAAGAUGCCUACUUAAAUCAAUAAUAUCCUCCUCACUUCCUUCCAUAUACACGAGAUUCAAAAAAUAAAAAAAUAGAAUAAGCCAUGCGCAUGAGAUUCAUUUAGUUUUAUCGAGAGAGUUGUGCCUCUCAUGUACACACACACGCCAGAUUAAAUUGAAAGAUGAAAUAAGUCAUAGAAGGCUCAUGGGGCUGCUUAAAGCCUCACAGAGAGAGAGAGAGAGAGAGAGAGAGAGAGAGAGAGAGAGAGAGAGAGAGAGAGAGAGAGAGAGAGAGAGAGAGAGAGAGAGAGAGAGAGAGAGAGAGAGAGAGAGAGAGAGAGAGAGAGAGAUGGUUUUUUUUCUUUUCUUUACUUUUGUGAAAAAACAAUCAUUUAUGCUAUGUUUGGUUGGUUCAUAGAAAGUUUGAAGGAAGAUCGUAAGACAAAAAAAAAAAAAAAAAAACAUUGCAAAGAAAAAAAAUGAUUUAAAAUUAAUAAAUUCAUUUUACAUAUAUAUUAAUUCUUUGAUAUAAGAUUAAAUAAUUUAAAAAUAUAUAAUUUUCUUAAUCAUUUUAAUUACAUUUGACUUUUUUUCAUAUAUUUUUUUCCAUAUUUUAUAUGAUAUAAUAAAAAAUGAUAAAAUCAUUUUUCUUAACAUUUUCUUCUUUUCUUGAUAAUUUUCAGGAACUAAAUAUAAAUUUAUAUUAAAAGUAAUCCUUUAUAUUAAAGUCAUACUUGGUUCUCAUAAAGUGUUCCAAAAAAAAAUGUUAAAAAAAAAUUAAUUUUCUCCUGUUUGAUUUUACUAUUAAGAAUAUGAAAGAAAGUCAAAUAUAAUUAAAAUUAGUAAAAAAAUUUAUAUAUUUUCAAGUUAUUUAAUUUUUAUAUAAAAGAGUUAAAUAAGUAAAAUGAGUUUAAAAUAUGAUAUAAAAACAAUUUAUUGACUUUUCACAUCUAAUUAUCUUAUCCUUCAUUUGUAAUACUAGAAGUAUCAAAGAAAUGAAAAAAAGGAAACCUACAUGAGAAUUUAAAAUCAUAUGUUUGAAUGAGAGUGAAAUCUCAAAUACUAAAUUACAUAUAUUUUUAUUAAUGAAGAAAAAUGAGAAAUAAUAUUUUUUUUAAAAAGGAUCUAAAUUUUUUCCCUUUACUUUUUUUACAUGUCACAAACAUGGUUCUCUUAGUUUCUAAUCUUUCCUAAUUCAUCAAAGAAUAAAUCCCCAUAGUCAAUGACACAAGUACUGCAGACAUGGCAAUGAGAAUUCUGCUAAUGAGAAGCUAGCACCAAAAGAUUUAGGUCUUCUCUUAUGACCCAUAACCAUGACAUUCAUCUCAAUGAUCAUCUCUAUGAAGACAAAAAUUCCUCGUCACAAUACCUAAGAAAUGCCAAAACAGGAACAAAACUUCCUACCAAACUUCAAGCCCAUCUGCCUACCUUUAAAAGGUGGUCCACUGGGUCAAUGCAAAAUAGACCAGCUUUUAUUACAGAGACUCCCAAUCAAUGAAUGCAGGCUGCUAAACCAAAAUAUAAAACAAUAAGAUGUUUUUAGGUUAUUGAGAACAUGAACCAAAACAAAGAAAACUUUUUUGUUUUAGUGAAAAAUAAGACAUUGAAAGGAUAUGCAGUCAUAAAACUUGCAAUUUUGUAUAUUGCAGAGUUAAAUCUCCACUUUUAAUACACUGGAAAGGGAAUAGCAGCAAGAAAAGACCAAAGCAAUUAAAAUUUCUUACUGCCAAAGCACAAUACAUCCCUACUUUACUCCAUGCUUGUAUAAGAGAACAUAGACCCAGAAAGUGACAAAAACCUAAGCAUCCAUGGUUUUCCAUAGUUAUCAAGUGGUUCACUUGGUUUAGGCAUACUGCCAAAUAAAAACAGAGCAUGACCUUGCCAGUACCAUUAGAAUAUGGCAACUAUCUGCAUCCAAAAUGUGAGCACUUAGGUUCAAUCCUCCUCGACUCCUCUUCAAUAUUUGUUUCAAACUUGAAGCUUCACGAAAAAAGAAAAUCCCUAACACACCUGCCAUCGUUAAAAAAAUUAGCAUCAACAAGCAGACAUAAGAUUCCUUGCACCUAACAUUGACAUGGACUCAAAUUAUCCAAAACUAACCUAAAUUCAUGGAGAUGAAUGCCAAUCAAGCAAAGCACGUGCCUGUGUGAUGUUUGGUCAGUCAUCUGGAGAAGCUUGGAGCACGCCCAUGAUUAGAUCUGUCACAUGAGCUGUAUUUUGGUAAUUCUGGAAUGCGGUAUUUUCUAUUUAAGAUAAUAGAUGGUGAGAAACAUAUAGUCAGAUGAAUAAUAAAACACAUACUCUAGUAUUCUACUGAUUGAUUCACCCAUUCACUAAUCAUUAAAAAGUCUAGAAAUAUAGAAGCUUAAAUUUUCGAAUUUAUGGACAUAGUAAAUAAGCUCAUAAUCAUCAUUUCUAUACAAAAUCAGGAAGUUCAAUGAGGAAGUUGCACUCAACCGCCUUAAGAUAAUAAGGACAUCAGAAUAGAAAACAAAGCUACAAAAAGUCUUAAAGCCAAGAUCAAUUUAAUUAUAGUAUUCUUCUUGGGAGUUGCAUGGUAUAAACCUUCGUUAAGACAUGGACUCUAAUUUUCUUUUCAAAGAAACAGCUAACAUCCUGAUCGGAUAAACAAUGAGAGCCAAUGCCCAGGGCCACUAACAGGAAUGUAGGCAUGGAAACAACAAUUCUGCUAAUGAGAAGCAGCACAAGAAGACCGUCACCUUCAGGAUCCAUGUCAUUGAUCCAAAUGAUCAACUCAGCAACAGUUAAAAAAAAAAAAAGUAUACAAAAAUUCAUAGUCACAGUCGAGAUCUAAGAAAUGCCCAUAAAAGAACAUAACCACAUCAAAAUUAGGACAAAACAAGUACAACUACCUAAUAAUAAAAAAAUUGACCAAAAUACUUCAUGUAAACAAAUAAAAAAAGUUGACCAAUUCAGUAUCAUAAAAUACUUCAUAUAAAAUUUUUGCUUUUAAAAUCGUAGUUUGCUAAAUGAUCCUAGUUGGUUGAUAUGGAACACAUGGAGAAGAAAAGAAAAAACAAAAAGUAUUGAGUAAUUUAGUUUGAUAAAAAUUAAAAAGAAAAUGGAAAUUUAUUCGGAGAAGUAGCAUCAAUUACCCAUGGAAUAAGUGCCUGCAGAUGUCUCCCAAAGAAUCUUAAUUCAUUCGUAAAGCUACAAUAUUGACUACAAACUAACCAAAAAGAUCAAAAACUUUAAAUUCAUGCAAAUUAAUUUAUAAUAAAACAAAAAGAAGAGAAAUUCAUUCUCAUAUACAAAUUCUAAAAGGAAGAGUGACAAGAAAAGAUUAACUAAUAAAAACUCCAAAGGGGUGUGGUGGUAUAGAAACUUCGACCUUCCUCAUUGUUGGCCUAAUUACAGCCUCAAAGAUGAUUAAAGAGCCAUUGCUCAUGUGAUUAAAAUAUGAUAACUAGCUUUGUUAAAAUGUGAAUUACCAAGAAUCAAUCUUCCUUUACUCAUCUAGAGAUGCGUAAAUUCUAGAGAUUGUCAGAAAUUCUGAAAAGUACUUGACAGCUACUUUAUGAAUUGGAACAUAAAGUUUCUGAAUAAAAUAAGCAUAGAAUUAAUUACCUGACUGUAUAUUGGUGCGGUACCACUUUCAUUAAAAUAUCACACCAUUGAUCACUAUUUUUGGAGGUGAGAGCAAGCAAUUGCAUAUAUAUGAGAUCAGGGUACCCUCUGAUUUGCAAGUAACGUCAAUAGCCUGUCCGAUAUGAAGUUCAUAAUUAUAUGAACUCUAUUGCAUUCUCUGCUUCCCCUUCAUCAGCUUGGCAACUAGGCAUUUGAAAAAAUUUGGUCUUUAAAAUCUGGAUCCAAGAAAGAAUAACCAUACAGGCACACACACCUGGACAGCCUCCCCUCUUCAUCAAACAAUUCAAUAGCUGUUAAAUCCAUGGCCGCUGGUGCCUAUGCUGCACAUGUCAUCAGGAAUUGCCUGCACAACAGACCAAGAAGAAGCAUUUGAGUGCUUAUAUGAUCUAGCAGCUCCAUCAGAAUCAAGUGUUGCCCUGUAGUAAUAGUCACUCCUUAAGUCUCUUAUGCUUAAGUCUCUCCCCAUGUGCAGGUAGGUAUCUGGGUCUGAUUGUUACUCAACCCAACCAAGCAUGGGCAUCCAUACUUGAUACUUUUCAGGUUGGUCAAAUUGAAAUGAGUUACAUAUAAUGCUCAUCUCCCGUAUCGUUUUUGAAGCUAGUUCGGCUAGACUAAUAGACAAAUAAGCCCUCAAAAUAAACUUGCCCAGGUUGAGAACAGACCUUAUAUUGAGAUAGUCCACAACCAACUCUGCUCUUAAUAUAUAAGAAAUAAUGAAAAAUAAAUAGUCAAACAAAUAAUAAAAUGCAUAACCUAAUAUCCUAUUGAUUGAUUCACCCAGUUUUUAACCAUUAGAAAGUCUGGAAAUAUAGAAGAGUGACUUUUCGAAUUCAUGAGGAUGGUGAAUAAGCUUAGAAUCAUCAUUUCUACACAAAGUCAGUUGGUUCGAUGAGGGAAUUACACUCUUAACUACUUUAAGAUAAUACAACAACAUCAAAAAUAGAAAAUUGAACUACAAAAGGUCUUAAAUUAAGAUCAAUUUAGACAUAAUAUACUUCUUGGGAGUUUCACGGUAUAAACCUUUGUAAAGAAUUAGACUCUCCUUCUUUAAGACUAUGGACCCAAGACUCAUACUCACUGAUAGAAGUGCAGGCAUGCCAAUGAGAAUUCUGCUAAUGAGAACCUAGCAUAAGAAUAUUAAUGUCUUCUCCUGUGAUCCAGAACUAUAGUCCGAAAUGGGAUCCAUGACAUUGAUGUCAAUGAUCAUCUCCAUGACAACAGAAAAUAUACAGAAAUUCCUAGUCAUAGUCAAGACCUAAGAAAAGCCAAAACAAGAACAACGAAACAUUAAAAUUGGGACAAAAACAAGUGCAUAAGCUUCCUAAUGAACAUUUAAGUCUAUUAGCUUACCUUUAAAAAGUGGACCACUUAGUUAGCACGCAAUAGACCAGCUUUUGUUACGACUCCCAAUCAAUGCAGGUUGCUAUUAUCAUAACCGAACUUUGUUCCUCAUAAGCAGUCUUUUAUGCUGAUACUGGUAACUUAAUAUGGAACAUGUACAAAAAAGAAAAGAAAUAACAAAAAGUAGUAAUUAAUUUCGUUUGAUAUUGAAUGGAGUAAAGUCACAACAUGUGCAUAUGCAAGUAUAUUAUCCUAAAAACCACUUGCAAAAGGCACCAAGUACCCAACUAAUAUCAGACUUGAAUAACCAUGAAUUACCUAAAACUGUAUCCACAUGUUCCUGCAUGAGAUAGAUACACAGAUAGUUUCAACUUUGCUCAUUUGGAAAGAUCAAUUAAAGCUACAAUGCAAAUUACCUGGGAUGAAUUUUCCUUUGUUGGAGAACUUCUCAAAUCAAACAAAUAGAGUUUGUUGCUUGCUCAAAUCUUCAACAACUGGACCAGCCAAAGACUUGUGUAGAUGUACAAUUCCUAAAGAGUGUUGAGCAUAUUAGGAGCCUUUGAAUUCUGAAAGGAGGUCAAGACCUUAACAAUGUAGAAGGUUUAAGUAAUUCUGUUAUCAAACAUGGUAAAAUUGAUUAAACAAAACCUUGAACAGUGAGGUAUUUUCUUCUAAAAAAGAUGAGUCCACCAUUGUGUGGACUAUUGAGAAUAUAAAAAAUACGACAUCAGAAUUAUAAGUAACUAAAAUUACCUACCAAUAAGCAGCUAGCUAGAAUAAAUCCAUGGUUUUCUCCAUGCCUGUAUUAGAGAAAUGACAAAGAAAGUGAGGAAAAAAAAUCAAAGCAUUCAUGUUUUUCGACAGUAAUUAAGUGGUUCACUUGGGUUAUGCAUACUGCCAAAGCAUGAAAAUAUGAGUACCAUUAAAAUAUGAUCUGAACUGUCUGUGUCAAAAUGUCAGCACCUAGGUUGAAUCCUCAUCUACGGCUUUUCAAUAACAUUUGUCCUAGGGUUGAAGCUUCAAGAAGAAGAAAUCUUAAAUCAAAUAAAUGGAGCUAAGGAAUUAUGCAGAUAUAUUCUUGAGAUUAGAAAUUUGGAUGGCUACAUCAGGAAUUGGAACAUAAAUUUUCUAACAAAAUAAGUUCAAGCACAAAGCAAUUACCUGCCGAUAUGUUGGUGCAGUGCCAUUUUCAUUAAAAUAGCACAUCAUCGAUCACUAUUUUUGGAAUGUGAGAUAUAAAACGCCAUUCUUGCCCUUUCUCAAAUUGGCACUGUUGUUCCAGUGAAGGACACUUGAGGACAUACAGAUAAGAGAGGGAGUUUGGCCGUCUCUCUUUUGUCAAGUAUUGGAGCUUAGGGCACUUGUAGAGAUCUAAGGUUUCAAGAGUGGUGAGGUGGUGAAGACCCGCUUAAUAAAAAUUAAUAAAAUAAAUGAAUUUAUUAUAUCUGGAAUAUGUAUAUAUGUCUUAUCUUAGGAUUAAUAUAUAUUAAAUAUCCAUUAAUAGAAAACCCAUUUUUUCUCUUUCCACAAUCUAAUCCUAAUACGAAAAAUCUUGAAAUAUUAUUGGUUUUCUAGCUUUCUUUUAAUUUCUCUAAAAUUUUUCAUUAAGUAAAUAAAUUUGGAAUCAAACUAUACCUCAUAGGUAAAAUUUAUUAAUUUUUAAAAUUAAUUUCAAACUCAAAAACCAAUUUAAUUAGUACUAAAAAGUCAAAAACACAAUAAUAUUAUAAAUUCAUAGGUCAAAAUUUAUUUAAAAUAACUUGGUUAGCUUCUUCUUCACAUAUAACCUAUUUUUAUAAAUUUUUUUCAUGAAGCAAAUAAACUUCAAAUUAAUCGAGACUUGAUGUGUUGAAUUCAUUAAUGAGUUUAAUAAUUUUUAAAAAUAAUUUAAAACUUAAAUAAUUAUGUAAUUAAUACCAUCAAUUUAUAAAUAAAAAUUGGUUUCAAAUGACUCUAUUUUUUUUUAUUUUCUAUGUAAAAUUAUUAUUUUCUUAUUUUUUUGUUUCUAUUAUGCAAAUGGACUCCAAAUUAAACAAGACUUAAUGUCAUAUUUUUAUCAAUGAGUCUAGUAAUUUUUAAAAAUAACUUAAAACUUAAAUAGUGAACCAAUUACUAUUAAAAAUUUAUGGACAAAAAUUGAUUUAGAAUAAUUUUAUUUAUUCUUUUUCUUUACAUAAUCAUUAUUGUCCGAUUUUUUAAACAAAUAAACUUUAAAUUAAACAAGACUUAAUACAUCGGAUUCAUUAAUAAGUUUAAAAAAUUUUAAAAAUAAUUUAAAAUUCAUAUAAUAAACUCAUUAAUAUAAGAAAUUUAUGAAUUAAAAAUGAUUCAUAAUGACUAUUAUUUGUAUUUUUGGUUUUAUUUUAAAAAUAAUUUUUUAAAAAUAAGCGUUAGAAGACAUGUUCAAACGGACCCUUAGCUUUUAAAAAACAAUGCAAUUAUGCAUUUUACAAUCUUUUCUAAAGGUAAUUACAAAUUGUUUUAGUUGUUUUUCCACCUUUCAACCCAAAAAAUUGUUGAAAAUAUAAAUAAAAAAAAAUAUUGUGAUAUUCAACUAUUUCACUUGAAGUUACCCAAAUAUGAAAAUAAGGAUUGAAGGGUGCAAUCAUGCAACCCAAUGGCAUUGAUUUAACAUAGGUUUUGUCCAAUUUACAACCAUAUAUAUUAGUGCAAUCACUAAUAAAAACUCAUUUUAAUGAUCAAGAUAAGUCAUUCUUCUAAUUAUGAGGUAGUAUGCUACAAUUUUAGAUUGAUUGUUCAAGUUUAUGAAUUGGUUGUAAACAAUCCAUCAACUUACAAUAAACUUAUGACUUGGAUCUUUCGUAUAACUUUUUAUACACUAAAAUCUUAUACAAUGCAAGUGAUGUAAACCCGAGUGUUCAAAUAAAUAUUAAUGUAAAUAAUGGCAGAAUAAUGGAAAUAGAAAUCAUAAUAUUAUAUAUAUAUUUAUGAAAUUUCACUUAGUUAAAUCAUGUUAUAUUUUUAAAGGCUUUGAUUUUUUUAAUUGGAUCUUGGGCUUUUAGGAUUUGAUCUUGGGUUUUAGUUGUUUCAUUCGAUGUUAGGCAUUUAUAAUUUUAUUUGGGAACAAUUCAUUUGAUCGAGGCUUCAAUUUUUUGAUGUGGGCUAUAGGCUGUGAUUAUUUCGGGCUUUGGGUUUUUGUGAUUUGGGCUAGUUUUGAUCAUUUAAUUUGUUGUUUUGGGCUUUGGUUUGGAUUGAUAUUUGAUUAGGCUUUGGGUAUUGGAUUUGUUGUUUCUUAAUUUGGAAAUAAUAUUUGACAUUGGCUUUUGGGCUUCGCUUUUAAUAUGUAGUUUUGACCUUGGUUAAUUCCUAUUUGAGCCCCUGGUCGGAUUAUUUCAUUUUGGCCUAUUGAUUUGUUGACUUGGACUUUGUGUUUGUGCUUGUUUGUGAUUUAGGCUUGGUCUAUUGUUCUGGGGUUUUAGUUUGAUUGUGGGCAUUUGUGUAUUACUUUGGGCUUGGCCUUUAUAAUUGUUUUGAAUUUAUUUAUGGUAUGGGCUUGGUUGUUUGAUUUUGACCUUCUAUAUACUCUAUUUGACCUGGGCUUAGGGCUUUCAUUUAGUUUAUUUGAGCUUGGUUAAUUUGAUUUGGAUUUGGGCCUGUUAUAACUUGUAAACUAUUUAGGCUUGCUUUUCUUUUAUUGAACAGAAUCAACAAAAGUAAGGUGUAUAUUUUUUUAAACAAGCAGAAUACGCGCAUUCAAAGUUUUGAAAAAUAGUUUUGAAAAAUUAAUUUUAAUCUUUUUUAUGUAUAUAAAUAUUUUCCAAAAAUAACUUUAUGAUAUAUAUUUCUUCAAGCAAUCAUAAACGAAAAAAAAAAAAAACAAAUGAAAAUAACCGAAAACAACUCAUAUAUUUUUUCAAAAAACACCUAAACCGGCUUGCUUUUUUUUUUUUUUUUUUAUCAAACAGUUUUCCUAUUUUCUUGUUCUUAAAUAUAGAUAAACAAAAGUGGUUCAUUGUGACCCUAUCAUUUGUCUUUUGUUUUUUAAUUUUAAAAUAGGUUUUAAAAACAAGUAGAAAAAUAUGAUGAAACGAACCCUUAUCUUUUAAAAAAUAAGGCAAUUCAAAAUACAUUUUAAAAGGCAAAUUAUAAAUUUCUUUAGUUGUUUUCUCAUCUUUGAAUCGAGAAAAUUUGUUUGUACGAUCUUUCCAUCUAAUUAGUCCCUUGAAAUAUUUGUCCCCUUUUUCAGUAUUAUCAAUAUAUUUAUGACUAUUUGAAUGAAAAUAUAAGAAAAUAUCAUAAAUAUUCUCAUGAAACUCCUUGAUAGCAAUUAUUUCACUUAUCAGUGAAAAUAAAGUUACCCAAAUAUAAAAAAGGAUCGAAGGAUGCAACCCAAUGGCAUUCAUCGAGAUGGCAAAGUUUGAUACAAUUUGCAAAUACUUCUAUAUAUACUCAUCUUAUCUUAUAUUUCAUUGAAUAUAAGAUAAGAUAAAUUAAUGGAUAUUUAUCAUAUAGUAUCCCUACCAAAAAUGUCCCCUCCUUUAUUUGAACUCAUGGUAGGUGAAAGAAUGUAUUUUCGUGCAAAUGAUAACAAGGCAAUGAUUCGAGAUCAUGAAUAGAAAGAAAUUCCAAAAGCGCUACACAGUAACCUUCCUCAUGGUUGGCCUUAGAGCUGAAUCCUCCUGAAUGCACCAAAUGGACACCAUCACUAGCCUCUCCAACCUCUUCAUAUCAUUCAUAAUUUGCAUCCUCAUCAUCUUCCACCAACUUCUCCAACUUCCUUUGCACAAACAGUUCAUAAUCUCGAUCCAUUAGAGCUUCCUCUCCGUCUUCCAUAUGAAAGAGGAAAUCUUCUUCUAACACAUUGUCUCUAUAAAUGGCUACUUUGCAUAAGCAAUCCUCUUUACAUGACUCUUUAUACUUCUCCUGCUCAACCAAUUUGUGUUGUUUAAUUCUUUCAACUCCACUUCAUCCUUCGCUUUCUUCACUUUCUUCGCUUCAUCUUCAUCUGCUUGGCAACUCCACUUCACUCUCACUCUCAAGAACAAAGUUACCGAGCAUGGCAGCAUGAGUAACCCCUUUAACAGCCGACUAAGUUCUCCAAAGCUCAUAUCCUCAUUUGUCAGCGAGUUUGAACUCCCCAUUUUUGGUGAGUUCAAUUUUUGUACCCUUCUGCCACUUCUUUAUCUGCAUACCAAAUUAUUGUUUGGUAAUUCAUGUUCGCUAAUUGCAUAUAGAACAUAAUUAGCCCUUUUAAAAAUAAUAAUUAAUAUGAUCAAUCAUCUUCUAAGAUGGCAUGUUACAUAAAAGGUAACAAGAUUAUGCUACUUUUUAAAAUUUUUCCUUAGGGUGUCAAUGUCAUAAUGUGGGUACAAACUGACAGUAUAGGAACAAGUACAUUGAUAAAAAUUAAAAGAGAAAAAUUCGAAAUUUAUUCAGAGAAGUAGCAUCAAUUGCCUAGGGAAUAAGUGCCUGCAGAUGUUACUCCUUAGUCCCCAGUAUGCUUGAAACAAACUGGAGACUGAUCAGUUUCUUACAGUAUCAGAAGACGGCAGCCUAGCUAUAGCUAACCACACAAAGAGAUUGAAGAACACUGAGCUGCCAAGUAGUAGUGACCCAACAAGAAUCAAGGUAGACUUAUCUGGGCCUGUCUGCAAGCCUUUUGCUCUGUUUUCCACAGGAAAGAAGGAAUCUCUUCUGCCAACACAUUGUCUGUAUAAAUGGCUACUGCACAGAAGCAAUCCUCUUCACAAGACUCUUUAAAACUUCUCCUUGUCAACAAUCCGUCUAAUCCAAAGUUCAUAAUUGGAGAUUUGCCAGUCUAUGUUGUUAUUCUAUGAACUCUACUACCUGCUUGGCAUCUGGACAUUGGAAAAUUUGGUCUUUAAAAUAUGGAGCCAAGAAAGAAUGCCUACAUAGGCACUCACAUCUGAACAACCCCCUCUCCCCAUCAAACAAUACAAUAGCUGUUGAAUCCACAAAUCCCGCUGCCACUGCCACUUGCAGCUGCAUUGCAAUUGUCAUCAGUAAUUGCCUGCAGAACAGACCAAGAAGUAUUAAUGCAGUUCCAAUGGUUUGCAGUGUUCUGUUUUCGGUGCUUAUAUAAUUAAAAUCAAGUGUUGUCUUGUAUUAAAAUCACUCCCAAAAUCUAUCUUCUGAUAAGAGGUUAACUUAUGUGG
RNAcentral lists this long non-coding RNA (20893 nucleotides) under Vitis vinifera (wine grape). RNAcentral describes it as "long non-coding RNA (VVIN_LNC004398)". Lineage: Eukaryota; Viridiplantae; Streptophyta; Magnoliopsida; Vitales; Vitaceae. The record is from RNAcentral.